RNAcentral lists this ribosomal RNA (379 nucleotides) under Manota mabokeensis. Its description in RNAcentral is "partial 16S ribosomal RNA". Lineage: Eukaryota; Metazoa; Arthropoda; Insecta; Diptera; Mycetophilidae. The record is from RNAcentral.
UCGAAGGUAGCAUAAUCAGUAGUUUUUUAAUUGAGAACUUGUAUGAAUGGUUGAACAAAAUAUAAACUGUUUCAAUUAAUUUAAUUAAAAUUUAAUUUUUUAGUAAAAAAGCUAAAAUAUUUUAAAAAGACGAGAAGACCCUAUAGAUUUUAAAUAUAACAAAUAUUAUUUUUAUAAAGAUUAAUUUGAUUAUUAUAUUUAUUAUAUUUUUAUUGGGGUGAUAAUAAAAUUUAAUAAACUUAUAUUUAAAUUUAACAUUAUAAAUGAUUUAUUGAUCCAUUUUUAUGAUUAUAAGAUUAAAUUACCUUAGGGAUAACAGCGUAAUUUUUAUAUAAAGUUCAUAUUAAUAUAAGAUUUUGCGACCUCGAUGUUGGAUUAA